This 253-nucleotide ribosomal RNA is filed under the name uncultured bacterium. Its description in RNAcentral is "partial 16S ribosomal RNA". It matches the Rfam family "Bacterial small subunit ribosomal RNA", at positions 524 to 776 of the family's 1533-position model. The record is from RNAcentral.
UACGAAGGGGGCUAGCGUUGUUCGGAUUUACUGGGCGUAAAGCGCACGUAGGCGGAUUGUUAAGUCAGGGGUGAAAUCCUGGAGCUCAACUCCAGAACUGCCUUUGAUACUGGCUAUCUUGAGUUCGGGAGAGGUGAGUGGAAUGCCGAGUGUAGAGGUGAAAUUCGUAGAUAUUCGGCGGAACACCAGUGGCGAAGGCGGCUCACUGGCCCGAUACUGACGCUGAGGCACGAAAGCGUGGGGAGCAAACAGG